UCCAGAGUUUGAUCAUGGCUCAGAUUGAACGCUGGCGGCAGGCUUAACACAUGCAAGUCGAGCGGUAACAGGGGAAGCUUGCUUCCCGCUGACGAGCGGCGGACGGGUGAGUAAUGCUUAGGAAUCUGCCCAGUAGUGGGGGAUAGCCCGGGGAAACCCGGAUUAAUACCGCAUACGUCCUACGGGAGAAAGCAGGGGAUCUUCGGACCUUGCGCUAUUGGAUGAGCCUAAGUCGGAUUAGCUAGUUGGUGGGGUAAAGGCCUACCAAGCGACGAUCCGUAGCUGGUCUGAGAGGAUGAUCAGCCACAUCGGGACUGAGACACGGCCCGAACUCCUACGGGAGGCAGCAGUGGGGAAUAUUGGACAAUGGGGGCAACCCUGAUCCAGCCAUGCCGCGUGUGUGAAGAAGGCUUUCGGGUUGUAAAGCACUUUCAGUAGGGAGGAAAACCUUAUGGCUAAUACCCAUGAGGCUUGACGUUACCUACAGAAGAAGCACCGGCUAACUCCGUGCCAGCAGCCGCGGUAAUACGGAGGGUGCAAGCGUUAAUCGGAAUUACUGGGCGUAAAGCGCGCGUAGGUGGUUUGGUAAGCGAGAUGUGAAAGCCCCGGGCUUAACCUGGGAACGGCAUUUCGAACUGUCAGACUAGAGUGUGGUAGAGGGUAGUGGAAUUUCCUGUGUAGCGGUGAAAUGCGUAGAUAUAGGAAGGAACACCAGUGGCGAAGGCGGCUACCUGGACCAACACUGACACUGAGGUGCGAAAGCGUGGGGAGCAAACAGGAUUAGAUACCCUGGUAGUCCACGCCGUAAACGAUGUCAACUAGCCGUUGGGACUCUUGAAGUCUUAGUGGCGCAGCUAACGCACUAAGUUGACCGCCUGGGGAGUACGGCCGCAAGGUUAAAACUCAAAUGAAUUGACGGGGGCCCGCACAAGCGGUGGAGCAUGUGGUUUAAUUCGACGCAACGCGAAGAACCUUACCUGGCCUUGACAUCCAGAGAACUUUCCAGAGAUGGAUUGGUGCCUUCGGGAACUCUGAGACAGGUGCUGCAUGGCCGUCGUCAGCUCGUGUCGUGAGAUGUUGGGUUAAGUCCCGUAACGAGCGCAACCCCUAUCCCUGGUUGCUAGCAGGUAAUGCUGAGAACUCCAGGGAGACUGCCGGUGACAAACCGGAGGAAGGUGGGGAUGACGUCAGGUCAUCAUGGCCCUUACGGCCAGGGCUACACACGUGCUACAAUGGCGCGUACAGAGGGCUGCCAACUCGCGAGAGUGAGCCAAUCCCUUAAAACGCGUCGUAGUCCGGAUCGGAGUCUGCAACUCGACUCCGUGAAGUCGGAAUCGCUAGUAAUCGCGAAUCAGAAUGUCGCGGUGAAUACGUUCCCGGGCCUUGUACACACCGCCCGUCACACCAUGGGAGUGGAUUGCACCAGAAGUAGUUAGUCUAACCUUCGGGAGGACGAUUACCACGGUGUGGUUCAUGACUGGGGUGAAGUCG
RNAcentral lists this ribosomal RNA (1491 nucleotides) under Marinobacter nauticus. RNAcentral describes it as "bacterial SSU rRNA". It matches the Rfam family "Bacterial small subunit ribosomal RNA". The record is from RNAcentral. Lineage: Bacteria; Pseudomonadati; Pseudomonadota; Gammaproteobacteria; Pseudomonadales; Marinobacteraceae.